Molecule: ribosomal RNA, 908 nt
Filed under: Linnemannia zychae
Lineage: Eukaryota; Fungi; Mortierellomycota; Mortierellomycetes; Mortierellales; Mortierellaceae
Description: Mortierella zychae partial 18S ribosomal RNA
Rfam family: 5.8S ribosomal RNA (bases 162-315)
Source: RNAcentral
UGGGAAGGAUCAUUCAUAAUAAGUGUUUAUGGCACUUUUUAAAUCCAUAUCCACCUUGUGUGCAAUGUCAGCCGUCUUUUCUUUAUGGAAAGGCAGCCAAACAUCAACUUAUUUUUUUAACUGUCUGUCUGAAAACUAUUAUGAAUAAACAAUUCAAAUACAACUUUCAACAACGGAUCUCUUGGCUCUCGCAUCGAUGAAGAACGCAGCGAAAUGCGAUACGUAAUGUGAAUUGCAGAAUUCAGUGAAUCAUCGAAUCUUUGAACGCAUAUUGCGCUCUUUGGUAUUCCGAAGAGCAUGCUUGUUUGAGUAUCAGUAAACACCUCAAAGCCUUUAAUUCCGUUUGGAAGCUUUGGACUUGAGCAAUCCCAACACCAGUCUCGCGACUGGCGGAGGGUUGCUUGAAAUGCAGGUGCAGCUGGACAUUCUCCUGAGCUAUAAGCAUAUUUAUUUAGUCCCGUCAAACGGAUUAUUACUUUUGCUGCAGCUAACAUAAAGGGAGUCUGACCGCAUUAGCUGACUGAUGCAGGAUUUCACAAGGGACUGGCAACAGCCUCUUGUAAAACUCGAUCUCAAAUCAAGUAAGACUACCCGCUGAACUUAAGGUAUCAAUAAGCGGAGGAAAAAAGACAUUCAAAAAAGUGUUUAGGGCAUUUUUAAAUCAUAUCCCCUUGUGUGCAUGUCGCCGUCUUUCUUUUGGAAGGCGCCAACUCACUUAUUUUUUUACUGUCGCUGAAACUAUAUGAAUAACAUUCAAUAAACUUUACAAGGAUCUUGGCUUGCACGAUAAAAAGCACGAAUGGAUAGUAUGUGAAUGAGAAUUAUGAACACGAUCUUGAAGCAAUGGGCUUUGGUAUUCAAAAGCAGCUGUUGAGUAUAUUAAACUAAGCUUUAUUCGUUGGAACUUG